CGACCGCUGGCGGCGUGCUUAACACAUGCAAGUCGAACGGAAAGGCCCUGCUUUUGUGGGGUGCUCGAGUGGCGAACGGGUGAGUAACACGUGAGUAACCUGCCCUUGACUUUGGGAUAACUUCAGGAAACUGGGGCUAAUACCGGAUAGGAGCUCCUGCUGCAUGGUGGGGGUUGGAAAGUUUCGGCGGUUGGGGAUGGACUCGCGGCUUAUCAGCUUGUUGGUGGGGUAGUGGCUUACCAAGGCUUUGACGGGUAGCCGGCCUGGGAGGGUGACCGGCCACAUUGGGACUGAGAUACGGCCCAGACUCCUACGGGAGGCAGCAGUGGGGAAUAUUGCACAAUGGGCUGAAGCCUGAUGCAGCAACGCCGCGUGCGGGAUGACGGCCUUCGGGUUGUAAACCGCUUUCGCCUGUGACGAAGCGUGAGUGACGGUAAUGGGUAAAGAAGCACCGGCUAACUACGUG
This 466-nucleotide ribosomal RNA is filed under the name uncultured bacterium. RNAcentral describes it as "partial 16S ribosomal RNA". It matches the Rfam family "Bacterial small subunit ribosomal RNA", at positions 30 to 507 of the family's 1533-position model. The record is from RNAcentral.